This is a non-coding RNA of Cinara cedri, 1352 nucleotides long. Lineage: Eukaryota; Metazoa; Arthropoda; Insecta; Hemiptera; Aphididae. The record is from the annotation of a GenBank genome assembly.
UAUAUUAUGCAGUUUGUUUUUUGAUUUUCGAAUUAGUUUUCAUAAUAAUCGGGAAAAAACAUAAGAAAGUAAGGCCAAAAUAAAUUACGGCACUUUAAAUUAUGUAUUACCGAACUGCGCUCGGCAUUGUCUUUCGUCAAGCAAUGGGUUAUCGUUGCUUACGGGUAUAAACGAAAUAACCUUAUAUAUCCUACCUUGUCAACUUCUCACCCAUAACAUUGACCGCUUCCAUCCCCACUAUCAGCUCUUUUUAUAAUUACAGUUAUUUAUUGUUGAAAAUAUUCAAACGCUAUUAAUUAAAGUACAAACGUAUCUGAUAUGAAAGUUGUUGUAGAUGAUAGUAGUGAGACUUGUUCGAAAAGGUGUUUUUGUCAGCCGGUAUAUAUAUACUGGUCCCCCCCCAACUAGAUAUGCUUAGUUCGCGCUUUUCAACAAUAACAUGUUAUUGCGUAGUCAGACGAUAACCUCACGCAUUUGGCCCCUAAUAUCCGGGUCAUACUAAAUGCGCGCAUAUGUGUUCAAUCGGCUAUUGCCUUAAUUUACACGUUACAUUAAUAUUCAAAAUAUUCAAAUAUACAAUUCUUACCACAGCCGUUCGCAUUGCGGCGUGGUAAACUACCUAUUAUUGUGUUGCAGUAAAUCCCAUACUUUAUGCUGUAUAAUAAGAUAUAUGGUACUAACAAGAAGCGGGACGACGCCCGUAACAAUAUAUUAAUUUAUAGAAAGUAAGACUUUACCAAUAGCUUAAACGGCAUCAAAUCAAUCAUGAUUUACUAAUGUAAUAAUUGACUUGAGAAACAUAUUUAUUAAGAGACACUUUUUUCACUUCUCAUUUGUUGUAUUUAAUAUAAUUUUGUUUUUUAUCAUAAGAUCUUAGGUAAUAUCAUUUUUUAAAAUUCGACUUAAUAGUACCUAACUUAUUUAUUUCGUUAGGUAAUUCAUAUAACAUAAAAUAACUAACUGUUAGAUCAGUACAUUACAAUAUUAAAACAAUUUUUUUUAUAACUAUAAGAAACUAUUAAAAUCGAAAUUUUUGUCUGAAUUUGAAGCACUAUUACAGUUUGAAAUUCCAAAAUCUACCAUCAACAGCAAUAUUUAAAAGUUAUGAAUCUCAUAGAAGCUAGAAGGUCUCAUUAUUGCAAAUAAAUAGGGAUUUCUUUUAACUACAUAUAAAAUUCAAAAACGAUUUUUCUGAACAAUAGACGAUAUUACUAAAGUAAAUUUAGAUAAUAUAGUUUUGGACUUGAUGAAGACAAGAGAUCAGUGAGGACAUAUGAUAUUUGAUUUCUUACGUUAUUUAUUUAUAUUUUAAUUUAAGUUUUUUUGUUAGGGAAAGGUUACUAAAAGACUAG